GAUGAACGCUGGCGGCGUGCCUAACACAUGCAAGUCGAGCGAGGGUUUGCUCAGUAUUGAGUAUUCUAAGAUUAGAAUGUUCAAUUCUGAGCAAAACCAAGCGGCGGACGGGUGAGUAACGCGUGGGUAACCUGCCCUAUACACAUGGAUAACAUACUGAAAAGUUUACUAAUACAUGAUAAUAUAUAUUUGCGGCAUCGCAGAUAUAUCAAAGUGUUAGCGGUAUAGGAUGGACCCGCGUCUGAUUAGCUAGUUGGUGAGAUAACUGCCCACCAAGGCGACGAUCAGUAGCCGACCUGAGAGGGUGAUCGGCCACAUUGGAACUGAGACACGGUCCAAACUCCUACGGGAGGCAGCAGUGGGGAAUAUUGCACAAUGGGCGAAAGCCUGAUGCAGCAACGCCGCGUGAACGAUGAAGGUCUUCGGAUCGUAAAGUUCUGUUGCAGGGGAAGAUAAUGACGGUACCCUGUGAGGAAGCCCCGGCUAACUACGUGCCAGCAGCCGCGGUAAUACGUAGGGGGCUAGCGUUAUCCGGAUUUACUGGGCGUAAAGGGUGCGUAGGUGGUCCUUCAAGUCGGUGGUUAAAGGCUACGGCUCAACCGUGGUAAGCCGCCGAAACUGGAGGACUUGAGUGCAGGAGAGGAAAGUGGAAUUCCCAGUGUAGCGGUGAAAUGCGUAGAUAUUGGGAGGAACACCAGUAGCGAAGGCGGCUUUCUGGACUGCAACUGACGCUGAGAAGCGAAAGCAUGGGGAGCGAACAGG
Molecule: ribosomal RNA, 762 nt
Filed under: uncultured Peptostreptococcus sp.
Lineage: Bacteria; Bacillati; Bacillota; Clostridia; Peptostreptococcales; Peptostreptococcaceae
Description: bacterial SSU rRNA
Rfam family: Bacterial small subunit ribosomal RNA
Source: RNAcentral